Long non-coding RNA from Lycium ferocissimum, 1086 nucleotides. RefSeq lists it as uncharacterized. The record is from RefSeq and is a predicted model, not a curated record. Lineage: Eukaryota; Viridiplantae; Streptophyta; Magnoliopsida; Solanales; Solanaceae. The transcript has 2 exons.
CUCACCAGCCGUUCUUUCUCUCUCCCUUUUCUCUGGCCAUUUUCACGCUAGUUGCAGCUUUCCUCAGCCAUGGACAGGUUUUGUCCAUCCCAUUUCACGUAAGGUUUGUCUUUACAUCAGCUUACAUGUGCUUCAGUGUUCGAAGAGAGGAUUUUCCCGUUCCAUGCUUCAAGACACCUCAACUCCUUCUAAUUUCAAACCGAAUCUCACAUUUCGGGCAAUAUCUGAACAAAUCCCCUGAAAAAUCGUGAGUUCGGCCAAACUCCAAACGCUCGGAUUUCAAGCCCGUUGGCUCGAUUUCAAAAUCCCACCCAAGUCGAGCCCUAAACCUAAGCUUCUCCUAUAAAUACAACCUUAUAUCUUCAUCAUUGGACAAGCAAAUGGAGUCAUAAAUCGGGACUCUCUCAAAACGGAGUUUCAAAAUGAGACUCGGUGCUAUUACCAUACCCGUGCAUGGAGUCAAUACAUUCCAUAUUCUUUAACCACACCAGCCAGCAAGGAAACAAGCGAAAUCGCUUUGGGCCGCCUAUGGCGUCUUUAUUGUUUUCCCUUUUCCCCUUUCCUGCUCAUUCAUUUUAUUUCACCCCUUUUAUGAUUGCAGAUACUUGCGUUGUGGAUUUGUCUUUGGUUGGAAAUUGUAUGUGGAACUUAUGAUUCACAUAGAAUUAUAAUGGGUAGUUUUUAUCAUUUAGGAUUGCCGCUCUAAAUCUUAAGUGCUUAUUUUUACCAUAUAGAGUGCAGCACUUAUUUUCAUACAGAUUUAAAAUCAUGAAUAAUCUUGUUAGGAUAGUUAUUAACUUGGCUUUUUGCUAAAUGUUUGAAGCACUAUUUUACUGAAUAAAUGAAGCUCAUCUUUUAACUUGUGUAUUCCCUCAAAUUUUAUUUAACUUUAUGUUAAAUCAUAGCUUUGGAACAUAUGAAUUUAAACUUCCAUUUUUUUAUAAUUCUGACAUUUUAUUUAAAGGAUAAGAACUUACGUGAAAACUUUGCCCAUAUUUUGAGUCAACAACUUUUCUUUCAAAAUCAUUGGAUUGGAUAAUAUUUCGAAUGGUUAAAUAUUUUUAGAAAUCAUGACGGCUCAUUUUU